This 331-nucleotide ribosomal RNA is filed under the name uncultured bacterium. Its description in RNAcentral is "bacterial SSU rRNA". It matches the Rfam family "Bacterial small subunit ribosomal RNA", at positions 29 to 359 of the family's 1533-position model. The record is from RNAcentral.
AUUGAACGCUGGCGGCAUGCCUUACACAUGCAAGUCGAACGGCAGCACGGGGGCAACCCUCGUGGCGAGUGGCGAACGGGUGAGUAAUGCAUCGGAACGUGCCCCGUACGCGGGGAGUAACCAGUCGAAAGACUGGCUAAUACCGCAUACGCUCCACGGAGGAAAGCAGGGAGUCGCAAGACCUUGCACUAUGGGAGCGGCCGAUGCCCGAUUAGCUAGUUGGUGAGGUAAAGGCGUCACCAAGGCGACGAUCGGUAGCUGGUUUGAGAGAACGACCAGCCACACUGAGACUGAGACACGGCCCAGACUCCUACGGGAGGCAGCAGUGGGG